GAGUUUGAUCCUGGCUCAGAUUGAACGCUGGCGGAAUGCUUUACACAUGCAAGUCGAACGGCAGCACGGGAGCUUGCUCCUGGUGGCGAGUGGCGAACGGGUGAGUAAUGCGUCGGAACGUACCGAGUAAUGGGGGAUAACGCAGCGAAAGUUGUGCUAAUACCGCAUACGCCCUGAGGGGGAAAGCAGGGGAUCGUAAGACCUUGCGUUAUUCGAGCGGCCGACGUCUGAUUAGCUAGUUGGUGGGGUAAAGGCCUACCAAGGCGACGAUCAGUAGCGGGUCUGAGAGGAUGAUCCGCCACACUGGAACUGAGACACGGUCCAGACUCCUACGGGAGGCAGCAGUGGGGAAUUUUGGACAAUGGGCGAAAGCCUGAUCCAGCCAUUCCGCGUGAGUGAAGAAGGCCUUCGGGUUGUAAAGCUCUUUCGGCAGGAACGAAAUGGUCACGGUUAAUAACUGUGACUUCUGACGGUACCUGAAGAAGAAGCACCGGCUAACUACGUGCCAGCAGCCGCGGUAAUACGUAGGGUGCGAGCGUUAAUCGGAAUUACUGGGCGUAAAGCGUGCGCAGGCGGUUUUGUAAGUCAGAUGUGAAAGCCCCGGGCUUAACCUGGGAAUGGCGUUUGAAACUACAAGGCUAGAGUGUGUC
Molecule: ribosomal RNA, 650 nt
Filed under: uncultured beta proteobacterium
Lineage: Bacteria; Pseudomonadati; Pseudomonadota; Betaproteobacteria
Description: bacterial SSU rRNA
Rfam family: Bacterial small subunit ribosomal RNA
Source: RNAcentral